Molecule: long non-coding RNA, 1171 nt
Filed under: Olea europaea subsp. europaea
Lineage: Eukaryota; Viridiplantae; Streptophyta; Magnoliopsida; Lamiales; Oleaceae
Source: RNAcentral
AUUAUGUGAAUAUUGAAUAUUGGUAAUAUUUGUGAUGGAUUCUUAAAAUCUUGAUUUUUGUCAAUUAGUCAAACAAUUAGUGAUGAUUUUCUCGUGUUCUACCAAUUUGUAAAAAAUUGUAAUUAUUUCCUUAUCAAUUAGUAUUUAAAUGUCACUUGUGGUUUACUUUAGUGUGAAAUGUCAAUGGAGAGAUUCUUUAAAAAAAAAUAUUUCGUAGAAAAUGUUGAUGAGGAGAUAUUGAAUAAAAUUGAUUUUUGAUGUUGCACAACUUGCUACAAAUCCUAGAAUAAGAAAGAAAAUGAUAAUCUUGUUAGUGUUGUCACUAUGUCAUUUUUAACAUUACUGUAAUAUCAUUAAAUCCAUAAUCAAAAAGUCCGACAUUGACUAAAUUUUGCCCGCACUGGACAAAAUUCUUGGCUUCGCCUCUGAACCCAAAUUCUAACACUCCCAUAUCCAUUCCAUGCCAUCCUAACUUUAUUUUCAUUUUCAUCUUCAUCUUCUCCUCCUCCUCGACAUUCAAGACUAUGUCGCCACUCUCUUCUUUCUCCCAAGCCCAUUACUUCUCCUUUGCUUGCAAUUGCCCUUUUCACUUUGGCAUUGUAGAUUCUGACGAAAAUGCUGUAUCGAUAACAACCAAUAUCGAUCGCACAGAAUUGAAGAACUGUAAUACAAUAACAAUGUUUAACCUCUAACCGUAAACACCCAUGACAUUAUGUGAGAACUCAAUUGGGCAAUCGGUGUGAAUGCUGUGCAGAAAUUGCAGCCCCUUUCUCUCUCUCCAUUCACACUACCUCCCUUUCAAUAAAGUUAGACAGCAGCACAAAUCAAAGAUACCUACUAAAGUCGACCAAAAAGGCGUGCUGGUGCAAAAAACCAUUGAAAAAUUCAAUUGUUUGAUUUCAGUUUUGUAUGUAGACUAAAGAAUAUGUGAAUAUGUGAAUCAAUCAAGAAUCACAAUGACUCUAUAUUCUUGUAUUUGAGCAUCAUUUGAUGAAAUUAUUGAUACAAGUGGUUUAAUGGAUUAUUCCAUUUGUUAUUGGCAAUGAACCUGAUUCCCAUGGCGGCUUGUUUUUAUCAUAUAUCCUAUUGGAUUGUGAAUGGAGAUAGAGUGGGAUAGAUCAGAAGCGUAGGCAAGUGUUGACGAAUCUGAGAAGACACGUCGAAAAGCUCG